UACGUAGGGUGCGAGCGUUGUCCGGAAUUACUGGGCGUAAAGAGCUCGUAGGUGGUUUGUCGCGUUGUUCGUGAAAACUCACAGCUCAACUGUGGGCGUGCGGGCGAUACGGUCAGACUGGAGUACUGCAGGGGAGACUGGAGUUCCUGGUGUAGCGGUGGAAUGCGCAGAUAUCAGGAGGAACACCGGUGGCGAAGGCGGGUCUCUGGGCAGUAACUGACGCUGAGGAGCGAAAGCAUGGGGAGCGAACAGG
Molecule: ribosomal RNA, 253 nt
Filed under: uncultured bacterium
Lineage: Bacteria
Description: partial 16S ribosomal RNA
Rfam family: Bacterial small subunit ribosomal RNA
Source: RNAcentral